This is a long non-coding RNA of Erinaceus europaeus (western European hedgehog), 610 nucleotides long. RefSeq lists it as uncharacterized. The transcript has 4 exons. The record is from RefSeq and is a predicted model, not a curated record. NCBI's taxonomy places the organism in Eukaryota, Metazoa, Chordata, Mammalia, Eulipotyphla, Erinaceidae.
UGCAGUCGGUGUGCUGUGGCAUUCUGUCAUCACUUUGCCAUUGGUCACAGCCCCUUCACUGAUGGAGACCUCUCCCCCUUUCAUCUUUGUGGUUGCCAGACUUGUAAUUUGUUUUUCUGUUUAAUAGAAACCUUAGAAUCAUUGGGAUAAAGUAUGCUAUGGAAAACACAUGCUUUUAAAAAUAGCUCUUUUCGUCCUAUAGACAUGAAAAGAUCGUGUUUUCAUCUCCAGCAAUCUCGGGAUCGAACUCAGGACCUCAUGCUUGAGAGUCCCAAGCUUUACCACUGCGCCACCUCCCGGACCACAUUGAAUGAUCUCACUCAUGAGCAGAACUUAAGAAGCAAGAAUAGGGGAAGGAAACACAAACAUGCUUCCCUCAAUUCAUACCAAAUGAUAUUGCAUCUGCUGAUUCCAACCUAAUCAACGCAACGAGUACCACCUCAGCAUGCUUCACUUCAGACUGUGUCCAGAGAUGUCAGGUAUGGAAAUCAACCCUUCAGCCUCAUUACUCAGGUGAGGCCUUUCCUUUCAUAGGAUUCUCUAAUUCCAUUCCAGGUGGUUCACUUCCUAACUAAGUCCCAAAACCUAGAGAUAGACCAGGCCCCAUGAG